This 572-nucleotide small RNA is filed under the name Pan troglodytes (chimpanzee). Its description in RNAcentral is "retained intron". The record is from RNAcentral. Lineage: Eukaryota; Metazoa; Chordata; Mammalia; Primates; Hominidae.
UCGCCCGGGGGCCAUGGCAGCAGCGGCUACUGCUGCCGAGGGGGUCCCGAGUCGGGGGCCUCCCGGGGAAGUCAUUCAUCUGAAUGUGGGAGGCAAGAGAUUCAGUACCUCUCGCCAGACUCUCACCUGGAUCCCAGACUCCUUCUUCUCCAGUCUUCUGAGCGGACGCAUCUCGACGCUGAAAGAUGAGACCGGAGCAAUCUUCAUCGACAGGGACCCUACAGUCUUCGCCCCCAUCCUCAACUUCCUGCGCACCAAAGAGUUGGAUCCCAGGUUGGCAUGGAAAAAGGGGAGGGAGUCCCUCACUGUCUUCACCCCCUGAGGAGUUCUUUCACUUCCUCUGAAUGUCCACGUGAGCUCCAUUCUAUUAGAAUUCUCAUUCAGAACCUUGAUCACAGGCCGGGCGCGCCGGGAUUGCUCACGCCUGUAAUCCCAACACUUUGGGAGGCCGAGGUGGGAGGAUCACUUGAGCCCAGGAUUUGGAGACUAGCCUGGGCAACAUAGCGAGACCCCUUCUCUAAAAAAGCAAACAGGCAAAACUUCAUGAGAAUCUUGAUCGUGUUAAAAUUUUA